RNAcentral lists this ribosomal RNA (870 nucleotides) under Triticum aestivum (bread wheat). Its description in RNAcentral is "partial small subunit ribosomal RNA". The record is from RNAcentral. Lineage: Eukaryota; Viridiplantae; Streptophyta; Magnoliopsida; Poales; Poaceae.
AUGGAUGAAGAUGGAGAUCAUGUCAUUCUUUCAGAUGAUGAAGAUGGACAGGAGCAGGAGGUGGAAGAGGUCAAUGAAGCAGGCAAACGGAAGCUAACUUCUAAAGUUUGGUUGGAAAUGAAGAAGAUCAAGAUCAAUGGGCAAUGGAAAGCAAAGUGCAACUAUUGUCACAAGGAACUUGUUUCAGGACCCAGAGCAGGCACGAAGCAUCUUGCUACUCACCUAAAGAUUUGUACUCUGAAGAUGUUGAAGACGAAGGGAGGCAAAACAUUGAGUCAGCCAUCAUUGAGAAUGAAUGCUAAGGACGACGGUAACGUUUUUUUGGAGAGCUAUACCUUUGAUCAAGAGGUUGCUAGAAGAGAGCUUGGUAACAUGUUGGUGUUGCAUGAGUACCCACUGUCUAUAGUGGAACAUGCUGGUUUUAGGAAGUUUGUUCAUGCACUUCAGCCACUAUUCAAGCUACAUACAAGAAAUACUUUUAGGCAAGAUAUUGUGGAAAAUUAUGAAGAAGAAAAAAAGAAGGCAAUUGAUUACAUGACUAUGAACCAAUCUAGGGUUGCUAUCACUACAGAUAUGUGGACUGCUGACCACCAAAAGAAGGGAUAUAUGGCUAUUACAGCUCAUUUCAUUGAUGAAUCUUGGAAGCUUCGAAAUGUUAUCAUGAGGUUUGUAUAUGUUCCAGCUCCUCAUACAAGUGAAGUGAUAUGUGAGGUGCUCUAUGACUCCCUGCUUCAAUGGAAUAUUGAUGAAAAAUUGAUGGCAGUGACUGUGGAUAACUGCACCACCAAUGACAAGGCAAUUGAGAUGAUUGUGGGGAAGAUAGGGAAGGAGAAGCUCCCUUUGGAAGGUACUCUGCUGCAUAUGCGUUGU